RNAcentral lists this ribosomal RNA (253 nucleotides) under uncultured bacterium. Its description in RNAcentral is "partial 16S ribosomal RNA". It matches the Rfam family "Bacterial small subunit ribosomal RNA", at positions 524 to 776 of the family's 1533-position model. The record is from RNAcentral.
GACGUAGGAUGCAAGCGUUGUCCGGAAUUAUUGGGCGUAAAGAGUUCGUAGGCGGUUAUCUAAGUCUGGUGUUAAAGCCCGAAGCUCAACUUCGGCAUGGCAUUGGAAACUGGGUAGCUAGAGUGUGGUAGAGGUAUCGGGAAUUCCUGGUGUAGCGGUGAAAUGCGUAGAUAUCAGGAGGAACACCGGCGGCGAAGGCGGUUCUCUGGGCAUUACCUGACGCUGAGGAGCGAAAGUGUGGGGAGCGAACAGG